RNAcentral lists this unclassified non-coding RNA (265 nucleotides) under Hevea brasiliensis (rubber tree). Lineage: Eukaryota; Viridiplantae; Streptophyta; Magnoliopsida; Malpighiales; Euphorbiaceae. The record is from RNAcentral.
CUCAGCUUGAUAUGCAUAAUUGUCCUUGUUGUAGCUGUUUCUAAUAUAUGCCGCUUGGUUUAGUGUAUCUAUAACAGUCUUCAGUACCUCAAACAUAUGUUCUUGAGAAAACCUUUCUAGAAAAUGUAAAUGCUUUUUUCUGUGUUAUAUAUCUAUGCAUGUGAAAGGCUAACAUCCUUGGAAGUUGGAAGUAAGCAGCAUGGUUACAUCUCUGAGUUUGAAUUUGAAGUAUUUGAUUUCACUGCUUCAGUUAAUUAUCAAUACA